Long non-coding RNA from Hyposmocoma kahamanoa, 368 nucleotides. RefSeq lists it as uncharacterized. The record is from RefSeq and is a predicted model, not a curated record. The transcript is spliced from 3 exons. NCBI's taxonomy places the organism in Eukaryota, Metazoa, Arthropoda, Insecta, Lepidoptera, Cosmopterigidae.
GUAGCCCUGCACAAAUGAACGAGCCUGAUUUUCCAACACCACGCGUGGGUCUCAACAACGACAGUCUCUUGAAUUUCCUCGGCGAUGACAGUACGGAUGGAGACAACUCUCUUGACGUUGAAGAAGUAAACCGAGUAUUUGAGGCAUUGGCACGUGAACACCGUGACAAGUCGCGCAGGUGUGCCAAUACAUCACGGUGGACUAAGCUCUAAACACCAUUCCCAGCCAAAAAGGAUGAGGACAUGAUUUCCUUAUCUCAAGUAAAGAAAUCCAGAAAGAACAAGACACGUUUAUUCUUCAAAUACAACAGCAACGAAACCUAAGUAAGAAAAAUCUAAGAAGAAUUAGAUUACAUUCAAUCUUAAAUA